Molecule: ribosomal RNA, 530 nt
Filed under: Rhodofomes roseus
Lineage: Eukaryota; Fungi; Basidiomycota; Agaricomycetes; Polyporales; Fomitopsidaceae
Description: partial small subunit ribosomal RNA
Rfam family: Bacterial small subunit ribosomal RNA
Source: RNAcentral
CCGCGCAGUGACUAGCUACUGAAUCAUUAAUUGAUUAAUUUCAAUAUAGAUGUGGUAAGGGAAAAUAAUGAUACUACCUUACUUAUAGUGUUGUCUAAAACUGGUGCCAGAAGACUCGGUAAGGCCAGAAACGCAAACGUUAAUCAUCUUAUACAGGCGUAAAGGGUUUGUAGGCAGUUCUGAAAUUUAUUUAAAAAUUAGAACUAGAAUCAAAAAGAAGUUAAAAAGAAUAAUACUUAGAGAAGAUCUUAAAUUCUUAGAACCUAGGUGGAAUACUAAAGGUGUAAACAACUAACUAUAAAUGAUUGACGCUGAGAGACGAAGGUGAGGAAAGGAAAUAGGAUUAGAUACCCCGGUACCCCUCUCUGUAAACGAUGAAUGGUAAUCAUUAGUAUAUUUAAAUAUUAGUGGUAAAGUUAACACGUUAACCAUUCCGCCUUGGGAGUACGAUCGCAAGGUUGAAAACAAAAAAAUUAGUCGAUCUCGGGGCAAACGGAAUGAAGCAUGUUAUUUAAUUAUUAAAUCCCGCA